GGGGGGGGGGGGGGGGGGGGGGGGGGGGGGGGGGGGGGGGGGGUGGGGGGGGGUGGCUGCGGGGGGGAGCGGCGGACGGGGGAGUAAUGCCUGGGAGGCGGCCUGGGAGGGGGGGAUAACGUCCGGGAACGGGAGCUGAGUGCGCAUAGGUCCGGGGGGGGGACGUGGGGGUGCUUCGGACCGCACGCUAGCUGAUGGGCCUAGGUCGGAUUAGCUAGUUGGUGGGGUAAAGGCCUACCAAGGCGACGAUCCGUAACUGGUCUGAGAGGAUGAUCAGUCACACUGGAACUGAGACACGGUCCAGACUCCUACGGGAGGCAGCAGUGGGGAAUAUUGGACAAUGGGCGAAAGCCUGAUCCAGCCAUGCCGCGUGUGUGAAGAAGGUCUUCGGAUUGUAAAGCACUUUAAGUUGGGAGGAAGGGCAGUAAGUUAAUACCUUGCUGUUUUGACGUUACCAACAGAAUAAGCACCGGCUAACUUCGUG
Molecule: ribosomal RNA, 484 nt
Filed under: uncultured bacterium
Lineage: Bacteria
Description: partial 16S ribosomal RNA
Rfam family: Bacterial small subunit ribosomal RNA (bases 54-484)
Source: RNAcentral